RNAcentral lists this ribosomal RNA (1002 nucleotides) under Epistominella vitrea. Its description in RNAcentral is "SSU rRNA". It matches the Rfam family "Eukaryotic small subunit ribosomal RNA", at positions 1185 to 1828 of the family's 1831-position model. The record is from RNAcentral. Lineage: Eukaryota; Foraminifera; Rotaliida; Pseudoparrellidae.
GUGGCUUAAUUUGACUAACGCGGGAAAUCUUACCGGGUCCGGACACACUGAGGAUUGACAGGCAAUAUUAAUUUCUGCAGCUUCGGCUAAAGUUAUUAUGUUAAAUAUGCUAGUCCUUUCAUGAUUAUGUGAUAGGUGGUGCAUGGCCGUUCUUAGUUCGUGGAGUGAUCUGUCUGCUUAAUUGCGUUUCACUAAGGGCCUAUAAAUUACGUGUGUUGCGGUACUUUGACCCCUCUUUUUUCACGAGAAGAGCGCGUGNCUUAGUUUGCUUAGCUCACACAAUUAGGUCCUGAAAGCAACGAACGUGACCGCAACCUCUUGUUGCCUUUAUACCAAACAUGGAUAUUCUCUUCGGAGGGUUUCAUGAAAAAAGGCUUUUUAAACUAGAGGGACCGCUGUUACUUCCUUAAACCAGAGGAAGGUUGCGGCAAUAACAGGUCUGUGAUGCCCUUAGAUGUUCCGGGCUGCACACGUGCUACAAUGAUUAUUGCAGUGAGCAUCUCAUUUUUUACACACCGCAUACGCGAGUCCAUUUAUUCACUCUCGGGUGCUUUAAAUGUGCAUCUCUGCGAGCGGUAAAGCCUGCUUCGAAAGUAAGUGGGUAAUCAAUUAGAAGUAAUGAUUUCCUUUUUUUCUAGCACACAUAUAUACGGCGUUUAUACCCGGGCUGCCUUGUUGUAGCUUUUGUGCGUAUAGAUGUUUUUUCCGUAUGUGCGAUUGUCAAUUCAUGGUGGGGACAGACCAUUGUUAAUUGUUGGUCUCGGUCUUAACUAGGAAUGCCUUGUACGGGUCUUUGGUUCAACAAACCACCCGGAAUACGUCCCUGCCCUUUGUACACACCGCCCGUCGCUCUUACCGAUGGACUUCUCUGUGAGUUUGAGGGACUGGGAACGCAGGUUUUUUAUUAAAUCUGCACACCUAUGGAAACUUAAACGAACAGUGUGGUCUAAAGGAAAGAGAAGUCGUAACAAGGCAUCGGUAGGUGAACCUGCAGAAGGAUCA